CCCUUAGAUGGUCUGGGCGGCACGCGCGCUACAAUGAUGCAUUCAAAAAGUCUUCUGACCUUAGAAGGUUGGGUAUUCUCCAAAGUGCAUCGUGAUGGGAAUAGUUUAUUGCAAUUUUUAAUCUUGAACGAGGAAUUCCUAGUAAGUACAGGUCAUCAACUUGUGUUGAUUACGUCCCUGCCCUUUGUACACACCGCCCGUCGCUCCUACCGAUUGAAUGCUCAGGUGAGCCAUUCGGACUUUCAUCAUGCUGGUUUCCAGUUUUGAUGAAGGAAAGUCUUGCGAACCUUAUCAUUUAGAGGAAGGAGAAGUCGUAACA
RNAcentral lists this ribosomal RNA (319 nucleotides) under uncultured eukaryote. Its description in RNAcentral is "partial 18S ribosomal RNA". It matches the Rfam family "Eukaryotic small subunit ribosomal RNA", at positions 1470 to 1796 of the family's 1831-position model. The record is from RNAcentral.